GACGAACGCUGGCGGCGUGCUUAACACAUGCAAGUCGAACGGAAAGGCCCUGCUUUUGUGGGGUGCUCGAGUGGCGAACGGGUGAGUAACACGUGAGUAACCUGCCCUUGACUUUGGGAUAACUUCAGGAAACUGGGGCUAAUACCGGAUAGGAGCUCCUGCUGCAUGGUGGGGGUUGGAAAGUUUCGGCGGUUGGGGAUGGACUCGCGGCUUAUCAGCUUGUUGGUGGGGUAGUGGCUUACCAAGGCUUUGACGGGUAGCCGGCCUGAGAGGGUGACCGGCCACAAUGGGACUGAGAGACGGAACAGACUCCUACGGGAGGCAGCAGUGGGGAAUAUUGCACAAUGGGCGGAAGCCUGAUGCAGAAACGCGGCGUGCGGGAUGACGGCCGUCGGGUUGUAAACCGCUUUCGACUGUGACGAAGCGUGAGUGACGGUAAUGGGUAAAGAAGCACCGGCUAACUACGUG
Molecule: ribosomal RNA, 468 nt
Filed under: uncultured bacterium
Lineage: Bacteria
Description: partial 16S ribosomal RNA
Rfam family: Bacterial small subunit ribosomal RNA
Source: RNAcentral